CAGGCCUAACACAUGCAAGUCGCACGGGCAGCAAUGUCAGUGGCGGACGGGUGAGUAUCGCGUAGGAACAUGUCCAGAGGUGGGGGACAACCCCGGGAAACUGGGGCUAAUACCGCAUAUGAGCUGAGGCUCAAAGCAGUGAUGCGCCUUUGGAGUGGCCUGCGUCCGAUUAGGUAGUUGGUGGGGUAAAGGCCUACCAAGCCUGCGAUCGGUAGCUGGUCUGAGAGGACGACCAGCCACACUGGGACUGAGACACGGCCCAGACUCCUACGGGAGGCAGCAGUGGGGAAUAUUGGACAAUGGGCGCAAGCCUGAUCCAGCAAUGCCGCGUGGGUGAAGAAGGUCUUCGGAUCGUAAAGCCCUUUCGGCGGGGACGAUGAUGACGGUACCCGCAGAAGAAGCCCCGGCUAACUUCGUGCCAGCAGCCGCGGUAAU
RNAcentral lists this ribosomal RNA (435 nucleotides) under uncultured bacterium. Its description in RNAcentral is "bacterial SSU rRNA". It matches the Rfam family "Bacterial small subunit ribosomal RNA", at positions 43 to 524 of the family's 1533-position model. The record is from RNAcentral.